Molecule: ribosomal RNA, 1364 nt
Filed under: metagenome
Description: bacterial SSU rRNA
Rfam family: Bacterial small subunit ribosomal RNA
Source: RNAcentral
AGCUGCUAAUACCGCAUACGACCUUUGAAUCGCAUGGUUUGAAGAUGAAAGGUGGCCUCUCUUUGAAGCUGCCGUUGAAGGAUGGUCCCGCGUCCCAUUAGCUUGUUGGUGGGGUAAUGGCCUACCAAGGCGACGAUGGGUAGCCGGCCUGAGAGGGUGUCCGGCCACACUGGGACUGAGAUACGGCCCAGACUCCUACGGGAGGCAGCAGUCGAGAAGCUUCCGCAAUGGGCGAAAGCCUGACGGAGCGACGCCGCGUGAGUGAAGAAGGCCCUAUGGGCUGUAAAACUCUGUCAGAUUGGGAAGAAAAUUCUGCGGUUAACACCCGUGGAACUUGACGGUACCAUCAGAGGAAGCACCGGCUAACUCCGUGCCAGCAGCCGCGGUAAUAUGGAGGGUGCAAGCGUUGUUCGGAUUCACUGGGUAUAAAGGGUGCGCAGGCGGCCCGAUAAGUCAGAGGUGAAAUAUGACGGCUCAACCGUCAAACUGCCUCUGAAACUGUCAGGCUUGAGUUCGAGAGAGGUAGGUGGAAUUCCAGGUGUAGCGGUGAAAUGCGUAAAUAUCUGGAGGAACACCGGUGGCGAAGGCGGCCUACUGGCUCGAUACUGACGCUCAGGCACGAAAGCAUGGGGAGCGAACGGGAUUAGAUACCCCGGUAGUCCAUGCCGUAAACGAUGGGUACUAGGUGUUGGGGGAGUCUACCCCCUCAGUGCCGCAGCUAAUGCAUUAAGUACCCCACCUGGGGAGUACGAUCGCAAGGUUGAAACUCAAAGGAAUUGACGGGGGCCCGCACAAGCGGUGGAGCAUGUGGUUUAAUUCGAUGCAACGCGAAGAACCUUACCUAGGCUUGACAUGCAGGGGACAGGUGUAGAAAUACAUCCUUCUUCGGACUCCUGUACAGGUGCUGCAUGGCUGUCGUCAGCUCGUGUCGUGAAAUGUUGGGUUAAGUCCCGCAACGAGCGCAACCCUUGUCUUUAGUUGCCAUCAGGUAAUGCUGGGGACUCUAGAGAGACUGCCGGUGAUAAACCGGAGGAAGGUGGGGAUGACGUCAAGUCAGCAUGGCCCUUACGCCUAGGGCUACACACGUGCUACAAUGGUCGGUACAGUGGGCAGCAAUACAGCGAUGUGGAGCGAAUCCCAAAAAGCCGGCCUCAGCUCGGAUUGAAGUCUGCAACUCGACUUCAUGAAGUUGGAAUCGCUAGUAAUCGCGUAUCAGAACGACGCGGUGAAUACGUUCCCGGGCCUUGUACACACCGCCCGUCAAGUCAACCGAGUUGGUUGCACCCCAAGUCGCUGAGCUAACCCGUAAGGGAGGCAGGUGCCCAAGGUGUGAUUAGCGAGGGGGACUAAGUCGUAACAAGGUA